This is a small nucleolar RNA of Malania oleifera, 84 nucleotides long. RefSeq annotates it as small nucleolar RNA Z159/U59. Lineage: Eukaryota; Viridiplantae; Streptophyta; Magnoliopsida; Santalales; Ximeniaceae. The record is from RefSeq and is a predicted model, not a curated record. The transcript has a single exon.
GCCUCUUGGGAUGAUCACAAGAAACUUUCGUUCUUCUGAUAUGUUUUAAUGCGGAAGAUUUGUGGAGACCUGAACUGAAGAGGC